Molecule: ribosomal RNA, 253 nt
Filed under: uncultured bacterium
Lineage: Bacteria
Description: partial 16S ribosomal RNA
Rfam family: Bacterial small subunit ribosomal RNA
Source: RNAcentral
UACGGAGGGUGCAAGCGUUAUCCGGAUUCACUGGGUUUAAAGGGUGCGUAGGCGGCCCGCUAAGUCGAACGUGAAAUCCCCGAGCUCAACUCGGGAACUGCGUCCGAUACUGGCGGGCUUGAAUCCGGGAGAGGGAUGCGGAAUUCCAGGUGUAGCGGUGAAAUGCGCAGAUAUCGGGAGGAACACCAAUUGCGAAGGCAGCUCGCUGGGACGUUACUGACGCUGAGACGCGAAAGCGUGGGGAGCAAACAGG